GAUGAAGACGCAGCGAAAUGCGAUAAGUAAUGCGAAUUGCAGAAUUUCCGUGAGUCAUCGAAUCUUUGAACGCACAUUGCGCCCGCCAGUAUUCUGGCGGGCAUGCCUGUUCGAGCGUCAUUUCAACCAUCAAGCCCCAGGCUUGUGUUGGGGACCUGCGGCUGCCGCAGGCCCUGAAAACCAGUGGCGGGCUCGCUGUCACACCGGGCGUAGUAGAUUUUAUCUCGCUCAGGGCGUGCUGCGGGUUCCGGCCGUUAAAAAGCCUUUUUUACCCAAGGUUGACCUCGGAUCAGGUAGGAAGACCCGCUGAACUUAAGCAUAUCAAUAAGCGGAGGA
RNAcentral lists this unclassified non-coding RNA (336 nucleotides) under soil metagenome. Its description in RNAcentral is "partial contains 5.8S ribosomal RNA, internal transcribed spacer 2, and large subunit ribosomal RNA". The stretch from base 1 to 120 matches the Rfam family "5.8S ribosomal RNA", at positions 35 to 154 of the family's 154-position model. The record is from RNAcentral.